GGUAGUGACAAGAAAUAACAAUACAGGGCCUAACGGUCUUGUAAUUGGAAUGAGUUAAGUAUAAACCCCUUUACAAGUAGCAAUUGGAGGGCAAGUCUGGUGCCAGCAGCCGCGGUAAUUCCAGCUCCAAUAGCGUAUAUUAAAGUUGUUGCAGUUAAAAAGCUCGUAGUUGGAUUUCUGUUAAUACUUAUAUAUAAUACUACGGUAUUUAUAUAACAUUAACAUAAUUCACAUUACUUAUUUUAAGUAUGUGAAAUUUUACUUUGAGAAAAUUAGAGUGCUUAAAGCAGGCUAUUGCCUUGAAUACUCCAGCAUGGAAUAAUAUUAAAGAUUUUUAUCUUUCUUAUUGGUUCUAGGAUA
Molecule: ribosomal RNA, 360 nt
Filed under: Cryptosporidium sp. BE6
Lineage: Eukaryota; Apicomplexa; Conoidasida; Eucoccidiorida; Cryptosporidiidae
Also listed under: 1 other name
Description: SSU rRNA
Rfam family: Eukaryotic small subunit ribosomal RNA
Source: RNAcentral